Molecule: non-coding RNA, 71 nt
Organism: Phrynosoma platyrhinos (Desert horned lizard)
Lineage: Eukaryota; Metazoa; Chordata; Lepidosauria; Squamata; Phrynosomatidae
Source: the annotation of a GenBank genome assembly
GCCAUUGUGGUGUAAUGGUUUACGCAUUGGACUAUGACUCUGGAAACCAGGGUUCAAAUCCUGGCUUGGCC